GGAGAGGGAGAAGCAGGCCUCCCGCGGAGCAGGGAGCCCGAUGCGGGGCUCGAUCCCAGGACCCUGUGAUCAUGACCCGAGCCGAAGACAGACGCUUAACGACUGAGCCACCCAGGCACCCCAAAUAAAAUCUUUUAAAAUAAAUAAACUUAAAAAACUAGUAAAAUAAAUUGAGGAGUAAGCCAGUUAGCUUUGUGCUUUUGGAAGAUCAUUUGGCCACCGUGGGAAAAGAGGGGCGUGGACAGUGGAGCCUGGGGAUGGGGGAGAAAGAUGAGCCAUGAGAGGAGCCCAGGGUGGUGGGCGUGAGGCCUGCGCUCAGGGAAUCUGUGUGAGCGAUGUGUAGGACACGGCAGGACUUUGAGACUGGGUGUGGUAGUGGGGAAGCGGGCAGGUGGGGAGAAUUUCUAAAGUGGCCCCCCAGAGAGGUCCUGCCCUAAACCCCAGAACGUAUGAGUGCUGGGGUAUCCCCUGCUGUGAGCAUGUUAUUUGGAACCCUGACUGUCCUGGAUUAUCCAGGCUGGAAAGCAGAGCACUUCUUUGGCUGGUGGCAGCGGGACAGCCAGAGCUUAGAAACCGGCUGUGAAGAUGGGAGCCCUGGGCAAGGACCGAAGAGGAGCUGCAAGGAGCUGGAGGGACCCCGGCGAGGAGGAAGGGGGAACCCACUCCAGCGGGUUCCCAUAAGGCACUGAAUCCUGCCAACAACAGGAACGAGCUUGGAAGAGGAGCCUGAGUGCCAGCUGUUCCUCCCGAAAAGGUUAAAGAAUAAAUGGAAGAAGGUAUUGUUUCAUACUUUAAUGAAAGUGCUUCAGGAAGAUGACAUUUGGAUUGUUUUUUAAACUCCACACCCAAUAUGGGGCUUGAACUCAUGAUCCUGAGAUUAAGAUCUGAUAUGAGCUCAAGAGUUGGACGCUCAACGGACUGAGCCACCAAGGUGCCCCUACUCACUAGCAUUCUUGAAUCAAUAUUCAUAACUGAACUCCGCCUAUGGUUUUCUUAUAUUGGGCAUAUUGUCUGAUGCCUGAGUUGACCUCCAUGCAGAGGUGUGGAGGCCGCUCCAGGACCUUCUGCAUCUGGAGCUUGUGAGGAAGGGCCAGACUGGAGAGACAGGUUGGUGAGUCUUUCACAUAUAGGCAAUAUCUUGUGCUGAAACAUGGAUAAACCUGGAAAACAUCAUGCUAAGUGAAAGAAGCCAGACACAAAAGGCCACAUAUAUGAUUCCAUUUAAAGAUUUUUUUUUUUAAGAUUUUAUUUAUUUGACACAGAGAGAGAGACAGCGAGAGAGAGAACACAAGCAGGGGGAGUGGAAGAGGGAGAAGCAGGCUUCCUGCUGAGCAGAGAGCCCAAUGUUGGGUCUCGAUUCCAGGACCCUGGGAUCAUGACCUGAGUCGAAGGCAGACGCUUACGACUGAGCCACCCAGGCGCCCCUAAAGAUUUUCUUUAUGACAGAGAGAGAGAGAGAGAGAGACAGCACAAGCAGGGGAGAGGGAGAAGCAGGACCCUGGGAUCGUGAUCUGAGCGGAAGGCAGACACUUAACCGACUGAGCCACCCAGGCGUCUCUAUGAUUCCAUUUCUAAAAACUGUCUAGAAUAUGUAAAUCUAGAGAGACAGAAAGUAGAUUAGUGGUUG
This is a long non-coding RNA of Mirounga angustirostris (Northern elephant seal), 1627 nucleotides long. RefSeq lists it as uncharacterized. The record is from RefSeq and is a predicted model, not a curated record. NCBI's taxonomy places the organism in Eukaryota, Metazoa, Chordata, Mammalia, Carnivora, Phocidae. The transcript is spliced from 3 exons.